RNAcentral lists this ribosomal RNA (253 nucleotides) under uncultured bacterium. Its description in RNAcentral is "partial 16S ribosomal RNA". It matches the Rfam family "Bacterial small subunit ribosomal RNA", at positions 524 to 776 of the family's 1533-position model. The record is from RNAcentral.
UACGUAGGGGGCAAGCGUUGUCCGGAAUCAUUGGGCGUAAAGAGCGCGUCGGCGGCCCUGUAAGUCCGCUGUGAAAGUCAAGGGCUCAACCCUUGGAUGCCGGUGGAUACUGCAGGGCUAGAGUCCGGAAGAGGCGAGUGGAAUUCCUGGUGUAGCGGUGAAAUGCGCAGAUAUCAGGAGGAACACCGAUGGCGAAGGCAGCUCGCUGGGACGGUACUGACGCUGAGGCGCGAAAGCGUGGGGAGCAAACAGG